GGCCCUGUCUUGUUCUUUUCUAGCAAUCUCGCACUGAGAACUAGAUUGCAAAUUUCCAUGUUCUGAACCUCCUCUUCACUCCAAGCUAAGUGGGUUCAGUGAAUGCUCAAGGCUUGACUGGCAUGAGCUCCUUCAGUGUGAAGAUGGGUGCUUUCUAGAGUUCAUUGGUGGGGACAUCUUACCAGUGAAGAGGAGAUGAGGUAGGACUAUGCAGUGAGCCCAAGGGUGACUGGAAGUCCUGCCAAGGGACCCCAACUUUCCUUGAGCACUCACAGUUCUUUUUCUGCAUUGGGACCAUACACGCUUCAGAAAGAGAAAGUGCCUCUGGAGAGGGGUGGAUUCCGAAAGAAAACAGAGAAAAUGUGGGGCAGAGAGGUACUGAGUAAAGGGAAGGAGAUGGGAGAAAAAGCAGAAGGCAAGACGGGGCCUAACAAAACUCCAAGGGCUCCCCAUUGGAUAACCUGGAGAGGUGAGCAUGUCUGCUACAAGAAAGGGAAAACAGUGGAAAGAACCCAAGAGAAGUGGGAGAUAUGGGGAAAUAAGAGCCAGAAAUGUGUAGGAAAACAGCAGAGACCCUGCUUAGGAUCCAGGCAUGAAGAACACAGCAAGUUAGACCAUUUCCUGUUCCUGACUAUUGGGCUCUCACAGCCUCUUUUCUGAUUCUGAGCAUUGCUCCAGCUAUCAUCCUAUUCCUGCCAUGGAUGGUCCUGGACGAACACCACUUAUUUCAGUGCUAUUUAUCCACAGGGAAGAGCACAGAGUCUCCAAGCUGGAGCACCCUGCAAGGCAGGAAUGUGAUGCUUUCACCACACAUCUGGGAGAUCACAGUAGGCAGGCAAACGACGCUGAGAGCCACAUCCUGCACAAAAAGCAGAAACACAGGAUGUGAAAAGGGGAGCUUACAAACCUCCAAACUGAAACCAAGGUCAAAAGCUCUGCAGGAUCUUCACUAUAGAUGUGACUUCUUCAGAGAACUUCAGCUCCACAGAUGCAGAUGUAGAAAGCUACCUCCCUGAUGAAGCAACUGUGAGCCCCAGGGACCAGGAGACAGAGCAAGAAGACACAGGGCAUACAUCUGAAUUGGGUCAGGAUGAAGUUUCUUUCUUUGUUGUUUGCUUUUAUUUGCUCUGUGGUGCUCAAGAUCAAACCCAGAGCCUUGUGCAGAUAGGGAAGUACUCCAUCACUGAAUUACACCCUCAGACACCAAUGAUGAAGAUUUUACAGAUAGAUCCAAAUAAUAAAAAAUAAG
RNAcentral lists this long non-coding RNA (1249 nucleotides) under Fukomys damarensis (Damara mole-rat). RNAcentral's name for it is "lncRNA (ENSFDAG00000028122.1)". The record is from RNAcentral. Lineage: Eukaryota; Metazoa; Chordata; Mammalia; Rodentia; Bathyergidae.